Oxyura jamaicensis (ruddy duck) is the source of this 157-nucleotide long non-coding RNA. RefSeq lists it as uncharacterized. NCBI's taxonomy places the organism in Eukaryota, Metazoa, Chordata, Aves, Anseriformes, Anatidae. The transcript has 4 exons. The record is from RefSeq and is a predicted model, not a curated record.
UUUCAAAUAAAAGGAUGCUCUCAUGUGGUCUGAUACUUUUGGGUAGACCUUUGCGGUGUCAAGAGUUGGACUUGAUGAUCCUUAAGGGUCCCUUCCAACUCAGGAUAUUCUAUGAUUCUAUGAUUCUAUGAUUUCCACCAUGAAAUUCACAAAAUUU